GACGAACCGUCCAAACGUUAUUCGGAAUCACUGGGCUUAAAGGGUGCGUAGGCGGCGCGGAAAGUUGGGUGUGAAAUCCCUCGGCUUAACCGAGGAACGGCGCCCAAAACUACCGUGCUCGAGGGAGAUAGAGGUGAGCGGAACUUAGGGUGGAGCGGUGAAAUGCGUUGAUAUCCUAAGGAACACCGGUGGCGAAAGCGGCUCACUGGAUCUCUUCUGACGCUGAGGCACGAAAGCUAGGGUAGCGAACGGG
RNAcentral lists this ribosomal RNA (253 nucleotides) under uncultured bacterium. Its description in RNAcentral is "partial 16S ribosomal RNA". It matches the Rfam family "Bacterial small subunit ribosomal RNA", at positions 524 to 776 of the family's 1533-position model. The record is from RNAcentral.